CGCGAAGAACCUUACCUGGUCUUGACAUCCACGGAAGUUUUCAGAGAUGAGAAUGUGCCUUCGGGAACCGUGAGACAGGUGCUGCAUGGCUGUCGUCAGCUCGUGUUGUGAAAUGUUGGGUUAAGUCCCGCAACGAGCGCAACCCUUAUCCUUUGUUGCCAGCGGUCCGGCCGGGAGCUCAAAGGAGACUGCCAGUGAUAAACUGGAGGAAGGCGGGGAUGACGUCAAGUCAUCAUGGCCCUUACGACCAGGGCUACACACGUGCUACAAUGGCGCAUACAAAGAGAAGCGACCUCGCGAGAGCAAGCGGACCUCAUAAAGUGCGUCGUAGUCCGGAUUGGAGUCUGCAACUCGACUCCAUGAAGUCGGAAUCGCUAGUAAUCGUGGAUCAGAAUGCCACGGUGAAUACGUUCCCGGGUCUUGUACACACC
RNAcentral lists this ribosomal RNA (431 nucleotides) under uncultured bacterium. RNAcentral's name for it is "bacterial SSU rRNA". It matches the Rfam family "Bacterial small subunit ribosomal RNA", at positions 960 to 1391 of the family's 1533-position model. The record is from RNAcentral.